CCCUUAGAUGUUCUGGGCUGCACGCGCGCUACACUGAAGCGUUCAACGAGUAUUCACCUUGCCCGGGAGGGUUGGGUAAUCUUUUGAAAACGCUUCGUGAUGGGGAUAGAUUAUUGCAAUUAUUAAUCUUCAACGAGGAAUUCCUAGUAAGCGCGAGUCAUCAGCUCGUGCUGAUUACGUCCCUGCCCUUUGUACACACCGCCCGUCGCUACGACCGACUGUUUCUGUCAAUGAAGCUGUAGGAUUCGGCCCUGGCCGGGGCGCAAGCCCUGGCUACGUGGUUGGAGAUCAUAGUUUAGUUGAUACGAAAUACAGGACGUAAAAGUCGUAACA
This 333-nucleotide ribosomal RNA is filed under the name uncultured eukaryote. Its description in RNAcentral is "partial 18S ribosomal RNA". It matches the Rfam family "Eukaryotic small subunit ribosomal RNA", at positions 1470 to 1796 of the family's 1831-position model. The record is from RNAcentral.